Molecule: ribosomal RNA, 443 nt
Filed under: uncultured prokaryote
Description: bacterial SSU rRNA
Rfam family: Bacterial small subunit ribosomal RNA
Source: RNAcentral
UAGGGAAUAUUGGUCAAUGGGCGCGAGCCUGAACCAGCCAUGCCGCGUGCAGGAUGACGGCCUUCUGGGUUGUAAACUGCUUUUCUACAGGAAGAAAAGGGUCAUGCGUGACAUAUUGCCGGUAUUGUAGGAAUAAGCACCGGCUAACUCCGUGCCAGCAGCCGCGGUAAUACGGAGGGUGCAAGCGUUGUCCGGAUUUAUUGGGUUUAAAGGGUGCGUAGGUGGGUCAUUAAGUCAGUGGUGAAAGCCGGCAGCUCAACUGUCGAACUGCCAUUGAUACUGGUGAUCUUGAAUUCAGUUGAGGUAGGCGGAAUUGAUGGUGUAGCGGUGAAAUGCAUAGAUACCAUCAGGAACCCCGAUUGCGAAGGCAGCUUACUGGACUUGAAUUGACACUGAUGCACGAAAGCGUGGGGAGCGAACAGGAUUAGAUACCCCCGUAGUCC